RNAcentral lists this ribosomal RNA (255 nucleotides) under uncultured bacterium. RNAcentral describes it as "partial 16S ribosomal RNA". It matches the Rfam family "Bacterial small subunit ribosomal RNA", at positions 524 to 776 of the family's 1533-position model. The record is from RNAcentral.
UACGAGUGGUACAAGCGUUAUCCGGAAUCAUUGGGCGUAAAGGGUGCGUAGGUGGUCUUGAUUAGUCUCUCGUUAAAACUCCCGGCUUAACCGGGAAGAUGCGAGAGAAACGGCAAGACUUAGAGGAUGUGAGAGGUGUACGGAACUCAUGGUGUAGGGGUGAAAUCCGUUGAUAUCAUGGGGAACACCAAAUGCGAAGGCAGUACACUGGCACAUACCUGACACUGAGGCACGAAAGCGUGGGUAGCGAACGGG